AAAUUGAAGAGUUUGAUCAUGGCUCAGAUUGAACGCUGGCGGCAGGCCUAACACAUGCAAGUCGAACGGUAACAGGAAGCAGCUUGCUGCUUUGCUGACGAGUGGCGGACGGGUGAGUAAUGUCUGGGAAACUGCCUGAUGGAGGGGGAUAACUACUGGAAACGGUGGCUAAUACCGCAUAACGUCGCAAGACCAAAGAGGGGGACCUUCGGGCCUCUUGCCAUCAGAUGUGCCCAGAUGGGAUUAGCUUGUUGGUGAGGUAACGGCUCACCAAGGCGACGAUCCCUAGCUGGUCUGAGAGGAUGACCAGCCACACUGGAACUGAGACACGGUCCAGACUCCUACGGGAGGCAGCAGUGGGGAAUAUUGCACAAUGGGCGCAAGCCUGAUGCAGCCAUGCCGCGUGUAUGAAGAAGGCCUUCGGGUUGUAAAGUACUUUCAGCGGGGAGGAAGGUGUUGUGGUUAAUAACCGCAGCAAUUGACGUUACCCGCAGAAGAAGCACCGGCUAACUCCGUGCCAGCAGCCGCGGUAAUACGGAGGGUGCAAGCGUUAAUCGGAAUUACUGGGCGUAAAGCGCACGCAGGCGGUCUGUCAAGUCGGAUGUGAAAUCCCCGGGCUCAACCUGGGAACUGCAUUCGAAACUGGCAGGCUUGAGUCUUGUAGAGGGGGGUAGAAUUCCAGGUGUAGCGGUGAAAUGCGUAGAGAUCUGGAGGAAUACCGGUGGCGAAGGCGGCCCCCUGGACAAAGACUGACGCUCAGGUGCGAAAGCGUGGGGAGCAAACAGGAUUAGAUACCCUGGUAGUCCACGCCGUAAACGAUGUCUACUUGGAGGUUGUGCCCUUGAGGCGUGGCUUCCGGAGCUAACGCGUUAAGUAGACCGCCUGGGGAGUACGGCCGCAAGGUUAAAACUCAAAUGAAUUGACGGGGGCCCGCACAAGCGGUGGAGCAUGUGGUUUAAUUCGAUGCAACGCGAAGAACCUUACCUGGUCUUGACAUCCACGGAAGAAUUCAGAGAUGGAUUUGUGCCUUCGGGAACUGUGAGACAGGUGCUGCAUGGCUGUCGUCAGCUCGUGUUGUGAAAUGUUGGGUUAAGUCCCGCAACGAGCGCAACCCUUAUCCUUUGUUGCCAGCGAUUCGGUCGGGAACUCAAAGGAGACUGCCAGUGAUAAACUGGAGGAAGGUGGGGAUGACGUCAAGUCAUCAUGGCCCUUACGACCAGGGCUACACACGUGCUACAAUGGCGCAUACAAAGAGAAGCGACCUCGCGAGAGCAAGCGGACCUCAUAAAGUGCGUCGUAGUCCGGAUUGGAGUCUGCAACUCGACUCCAUGAAGUCGGAAUCGCUAGUAAUCGUGGAUCAGAAUGCCACGGUGAAUACGUUCCCGGGCCUUGUACACACCGCCCGUCACACCAUGGGAGUGGGUUGCAAAAGAAGUAGGUAGCUUAACCUUCGGGAGGGCGCUUACCACUUUGUGAUUCAUGACUGGGGUGAAGUCGUAACAAGGUAACCGUAGGGGAACCUGCGGUUGGAUCACCUCCUUACCUGAAAGAA
Molecule: ribosomal RNA, 1552 nt
Filed under: Salmonella enterica
Lineage: Bacteria; Pseudomonadati; Pseudomonadota; Gammaproteobacteria; Enterobacterales; Enterobacteriaceae
Description: bacterial SSU rRNA
Rfam family: Bacterial small subunit ribosomal RNA
Source: RNAcentral